CUUGUUUCUCCUGUCUUGUGUAGACUAAUAAACCUCUGAAGUUGUUCUUGCAACUAUUUAUCUCAAGUAAGAUGAGAGAUAAUAAACAAGCAAAGCGUGCACUGAAGGCUACAAGUUAUCAUGGAUCACUGGAGGCUUGGUUCCAUGUCAUCCAGACUCAAGACCCCGCUCCACUAGAGCUCAUACAAUAGAACACGGAUCUUACUCAUACUGAACAAAUGCCCCAUCUUGGAUGACAAUUCUGAAGGUGUGCUCCUGUCAGAGUUUCUUCCCUGCUGUGGCUGUUUUGACCUGUGUCCAGAAAUGUCUGGUGCUCUUGCCACUACCUUGAGUGAAGCAUUUCCUCAAAGCAAACAUGACAACAUCCCAGGGGCAGGAUUCUGGAAGCCUCACAGUCCACACCAGACAACGAGAAAUCCUUCAACUAAGUGGCUGGACACAGGACACUUUCGG
This 453-nucleotide long non-coding RNA is filed under the name Equus caballus (horse). RNAcentral describes it as "lncRNA (ENSECAG00000045362.1)". Lineage: Eukaryota; Metazoa; Chordata; Mammalia; Perissodactyla; Equidae. The record is from RNAcentral.